UAGGGAAUCUUCGGCAAUGGACGGAAGUCUGACCGAGCAACGCCGCGUGAGUGAAGAAGGUUUUCGGAUCGUAAAGCUCUGUUGUAAGAGAAGAACGAGUGUGAGAGUGGAAAGUUCACACUGUGACGGUAUCUUACCAGAAAGGGACGGCUAACUACGUGCCAGCAGCCGCGGUAAUACGUAGGUCCCGAGCGUUGUCCGGAUUUAUUGGGCGUAAAGCGAGCGCAGGCGGUUAGAUAAGUCUGAAGUUAAAGGCUGUGGCUUAACCAUAGUAGGCUUUGGAAACUGUUUAACUUGAGUGCAAGAGGGGAGAGUGGAAUUCCAUGUGUAGCGGUGAAAUGCGUAGAUAUAUGGAGGAACACCGGUGGCGAAAGCGGCUCUCUGGCUCGUAACUGACGCUGAGGCUCGAAAGCGUGGGGAGCAAACAGGAUUAGAUACCCUGGUAGUCCACGCUGUAAACGAUGAGUGCUAGGUGUUAGACCCUUUCCGGGGUUUAGUGCCGUAGCUAACGCAUUAAGCACUCCGCCUGGGGAGUACGACCGCAAGGUUG
Molecule: ribosomal RNA, 550 nt
Filed under: uncultured bacterium
Lineage: Bacteria
Description: bacterial SSU rRNA
Rfam family: Bacterial small subunit ribosomal RNA
Source: RNAcentral